RNAcentral lists this ribosomal RNA (152 nucleotides) under uncultured eukaryote. RNAcentral describes it as "partial 18S ribosomal RNA". It matches the Rfam family "Eukaryotic small subunit ribosomal RNA", at positions 1524 to 1670 of the family's 1831-position model. The record is from RNAcentral.
GAUCGGUUCAUCGAGCAUAAACCUUGACUGGAKAAGUCUGGGUAAUCUUUUGAAAACCGGCUCGUGCUGGGGAUAGGAUCAUUGCAAUUAUGUGCACUCUUCAACRAGGAAUUCCUAGAUAAACGCRAGUCAUCAACUCGCAUUGAUUACKU